GCUGCUUUAGAAAAUUAAGGGGAACAUGUUAUAUUUUUCUAAUUUUAUGUUAUUCUAACUCUAAGUAUUAUUUGUUAAAGUCUUUGUAAAGUACUGAAGGAAUCUGUCCAGUUUAUUUCCAUAGGUUGGGCCAAAUUUAAGACUUUAGGACAAAUUUGACUACUGUUCAGCUAGGUAUCAUCCAGCCUAGCGUGUUUGUCCAGUUUUUUAGGCUUAAUAAAAAUAAGGACUGAAACAUCAUCUCAGGCUUAAAUAGUAAAGUCAGAAAAGCCUGGAAAGACCUUUUGGUUUCUCUCUUUCCCACACAUCUUGUCGGUCCCCACCCCCCUACCCAGC
RNAcentral lists this long non-coding RNA (336 nucleotides) under Bos taurus (domestic cattle). RNAcentral's name for it is "long non-coding RNA NONBTAT015131". Lineage: Eukaryota; Metazoa; Chordata; Mammalia; Artiodactyla; Bovidae. The record is from RNAcentral.